AUAACUCUCUAAACUAGAAAAUAUCAUCAAUACCCUUUUUAAAACCAAAAAUAUUUACAGAUACUCCUUAGGUAAACUUUCCGUCAAGAAGUCAUCCAAUAUUUUAUAAAUACCAAUUUUACGCCUAGCACGAAUUUAACCAGUGUAAUAAUUUAAGAUUAAUUACUUAAUUAAUUCUUAAUGUUUAAAUCACAUUAUAAUUUAACAUUCUUUUUAAAAUUUUACAAUUAAAGAUCUAUAGUCUAUUAAGUGUGAUAGUUAAAUCU
RNAcentral lists this long non-coding RNA (266 nucleotides) under Ananas comosus (pineapple). RNAcentral describes it as "long non-coding RNA (ACOM_LNC004746)". Lineage: Eukaryota; Viridiplantae; Streptophyta; Magnoliopsida; Poales; Bromeliaceae. The record is from RNAcentral.